This 482-nucleotide ribosomal RNA is filed under the name uncultured bacterium. RNAcentral describes it as "bacterial SSU rRNA". It matches the Rfam family "Bacterial small subunit ribosomal RNA", at positions 29 to 506 of the family's 1533-position model. The record is from RNAcentral.
UUGAACGCUGGCGGCAUGCCUUACACAUGCAAGUCGAACGGCAGCACGGGGGCGACCCUGGUGGCGAGUGGCGAACGGGUGAGUAACGCAUCGGAACGUACCCGGAAGUGGGGGAUAACGUAGCGAAAGUUACGCUAAUACCGCAUAUUCUGUGAGCAGGAAAGAGGGGGAUCGCAAGACCUCUCGCUUGCGGAGCGGCCGAUGUCGGAUUAGCUAGUUGGCGGGGUAAAGGCCCACCAAGGCGACGAUCCGUAGCGGGUCUGGGAGGAUGAUCCGCCACACUGGGACUGAGACACGGCCCAGACUCCUACGGGAGGCAGCAGUGGGGAAUUUUGGACAAUGGGCGCAAGCCUGAUCCAGCCAUGCCGCGUGAGUGAAGAAGGCCUUCGGGUUGUAAAGCUCUUUCGGCAGGAACGAAACGGUGGAGGCUAAUACCUUUCAUCAAUGACGGUACCUGAAGAAGAAGCACCGGCUAACUACGU